AGUGAACGCUGGCGGUAGGCCUAACACAUGCAAGUCGAACGGCAGCACAGGAGAGCUUGCUCUCUGGGUGGCGAGUGGCGGACGGGUGAGGAAUACAUCGGAAUCUACUCUGUCGUGGGGGAUAACGUAGGGAAACUUACGCUAAUACCGCAUACGACCUACGGGUGAAAGCAGGGGACCUUCGGGCCUUGCGCGAUGGAAUGAGCCGAUGUCGGAUUAGCUAGUUGGCGGGGUAAGGGCCCACCAAGGCGACGAUCCGUAGCUGGUCUGAGAGGAGGAUCAGCCACACUGGAACUGAGACACGGUCCAGACUCCUACGGGAGGCAGCAGUGGGGAAUAUUGGACAAUGGGCGCAAGCCUGAUCCAGCCAUACCGCGUGGGUGAAGAAGGCCUUCGGGUUGUAAAGCCCUUUUGUUGGGAAAGAAAUCCAGCUGGCUAAUACCCGGUUGGGAUGACGGUACCCAAAGAAUAAGCACCGGCUAACUUCGUGCCAGCCGCCGCAGUAA
RNAcentral lists this ribosomal RNA (506 nucleotides) under uncultured bacterium. RNAcentral describes it as "partial 16S ribosomal RNA". It matches the Rfam family "Bacterial small subunit ribosomal RNA", at positions 29 to 523 of the family's 1533-position model. The record is from RNAcentral.